CGAUAAUCUAUUCUCAAAGUUGGGUUGGGAGCUGGGUCUAUACUACCCAAGCUAUGAUGAUUUUCACCUUGAUAUUCUAGCGCGGAUGUAUACCUACGAGCGCGGAUGUUUACCAAGCCAAAUUGCACUGUAGGGGGCGAGAACGAGACGUGCUAGCAUGGAUGCAGCUACGAAGUCACCGGGUUUGCUACGAAGUCACCGGGUUUGCUUCAGGGAACAUUUUAUUUUCAAGAAGCUUCCCAAUGGAAACCUCGACAAGACGAAGUUCUUCAAGUCUCAAAUACCACCUAAACGCAAAGCAUCGCUUAGCUAACGCGGAAGAUGCCGGGCCAAGCGCUGAUGUAGCGCAGGGGAAGAGUCGUCGUCAAACUACUAUGUUUGAGUGCAACCGAGGCGAGCCCGUCAGCACGGCUCUAUCGGCCAAGCUAACGAAUCUCCUCGCUCAGUGGAUUGCCACCAGCUGCCGGCCCAUCAGCGUGGUAGAAGAUGACGGGCUCGAGCUUGUUCUUCAGGCGGCCAAAGAUGAACGAUGAGCUGGGUUUCCAGGGUAACGCAGUGAUGAUCUAAGAUGUCGGCCAUGUGAUCUCUGGGUUUGAAUUCUGCCCGUCAUCGUCCUUCAACCGAACCACUAAAAAUAAUGCUCACUCUCUUAUUACGUGAAGUUAUCUUAUGAUUCACACUUGACAAAAAGGUACCUGAAAACAGGCAGUAGGAGGCAUCACCAUGGCGACGCUUUUACAAAUAGAAGAAAGAACUGAAAAAUAAAAAGCGGACAAAGAGACGGAGGACAGAGUGAGAGGACGUGAGGAACCAGAUGAACCACCGGAGCCAAACUGGAGGAUUCUGUUGCAUAGAUUGAAGCAAACGGGAGGAUGUUUGAUCGAAACGCACAACAUGAGAGUGAAACACACACACACACACACACACAUACUUAGGGGGAAGCACAAGUUCUAUUUUGUUUCCCAAACAAACGGGCGUGAGCGACACCUUGCAGCCUGAAGACUUGAAGCUAAAUGCUAACGGUAGUUAUGCUAAUGGGGUGUUUGGCCGGUACAAAGGUCAACGGGUCCAAAGUCUUAGUUCAAACAACACGCAGCACAAACUACUUCAGAAAUAAAAUCAUGGACCUCGGGAGGGCGCUGGAGCAAAAGUCAGAAGGAUUCAUCAUCUGGGGAACACGAAUGUCUCCACAAACGCGACAAUACGUCAGAUUGCUGCAGAUGUUUGAGUGUGAAUUAAAGAAAUAAUUUCACUGGUUUGACAGAAGCAGCAGAGACUCUCUGCAGGAUGAUGGAUCACAGACAUCAAUGGAUGUGAUUGGUUAGAUGGUGACACGUGAUGACCUGAAGGUUUCAGGCCUGAUGUCUCCUCCUCCUCAGCGGACGUGACAGUUCUCCAAAGAGUCGCUUAAGAUCCGACAACAGGAAGCUGUUCUGAAGAAAAGAGGCGGCGCGGUCCAAAACAUCUGGAUGAGAGACGAGAGUCCCGCCUGCACAUGGCGGCCCGGUACUGUGAGGGCGACUCACCCGAGGGACAAUCUUAUCCAGGCAGCAGGUACCCCGCACCUGUUACGUCGUACCUGCCGCAGGAGCACAGCUGUUCAUCAGUUCAACCAAGAACAAAAACCAACGCGUCACCCACUGGAGCCAACGGGCGCACGGCGGGAAGAGGAAGUGAUGUCACGGCGGCGCUCUUUUCCAGGAAGGCUUCCGAAGCCGGCGGCGGUGGAAGGAUGUCAAUGACUCGCGGGCUCCGCCUCC
Long non-coding RNA from Gasterosteus aculeatus aculeatus (three-spined stickleback), 1760 nucleotides. Lineage: Eukaryota; Metazoa; Chordata; Actinopteri; Perciformes; Gasterosteidae. The record is from Ensembl.